Molecule: ribosomal RNA, 253 nt
Filed under: uncultured bacterium
Lineage: Bacteria
Description: partial 16S ribosomal RNA
Rfam family: Bacterial small subunit ribosomal RNA
Source: RNAcentral
UACGGAGGGUGCAAGCGUUAAUCGGAAUUACUGGGCGUAAAGCGUGCGCAGGCGGUUUUGUAAGCCAGGUGUGAAAUCCCCGGGCUCAACCUGGGAAUGGCAUUUGGGACUGCAAGGCUGGAGUGCGGCAGAGGAGACUGGAAUUCCUGGUGUAGCAGUGAAAUGCGUAGAUAUCAGGAGGAACACCGAUGGCGAAGGCAGGUCUCUGGGCUGACACUGACGCUCAUGCACGAAAGCGUGGGGAGCAAACAGG